GGACUACUAGGGUUUCUAAUCCCGUUCGCUCCCCUAGCUUUCGCGCCUCAGCGUCAGAAGAGGUCCAGCACGCCGCUUUCGCCACCGGCGUUCCUUCCGAUAUCAACGCAUUUCACCGCUCCACCGGAAGUUCCGCAUGCCCCUACCUCCCUCCAGGUCUCCAGUAUCCAAGGCACUUUUCCGGUUAAGCCGAAAGAUUUCACCCCGGACUUGAAGACCCGCCUACGCGCCCUUUAAGCCCAGUGAUUCCGAACAACGUUUGCACGGUUCGUCUUACCGCGGCUGCUGGCAC
This 292-nucleotide ribosomal RNA is filed under the name uncultured Planctomycetota bacterium. RNAcentral describes it as "uncultured planctomycete partial 16S ribosomal RNA". Lineage: Bacteria; Pseudomonadati; Planctomycetota. The record is from RNAcentral.